RNAcentral lists this ribosomal RNA (382 nucleotides) under Alexandrium margalefii. RNAcentral describes it as "partial Bacterial large subunit ribosomal RNA". It matches the Rfam family "Bacterial large subunit ribosomal RNA", at positions 1284 to 1663 of the family's 2925-position model. Lineage: Eukaryota; Dinophyceae; Gonyaulacales; Pyrocystaceae. The record is from RNAcentral.
AGAAGUGAGAAUGCCGGUGUGAGUAGCGAAAGAUGGGUGAGAAUCCCAUCCACCGAUUGACUAAGGUUUCCAGAGGAAGGCUCGUCCGCUCUGGGUUAGUCGGGACCUAAGCCGAGGCCGACAGGCGUAGGCGAUGGAUAACAGGUAGAUAUUCCUGUACCACCUAAGAUUGUUUGAACGAUGGGGGGACGCAGAAGGAUAGGCGAUCGUACUGUUGGUUAUGUACGUCCAAGCAUCAAGACUGAGCAUCAGGCAAAUCCGGUGCUCAUCAAGGUUGAGAUGUGACGGGGAGCGAAAUUAUAGUAGCGAAGUCGUUGAUUUCACACUGCCAAGAAAAGCCUCUAGUUAGAAAUUAGGUGCCCGUACCGCAAACCGACACAGG